GAUGAACGCUGGCGGCGUGCCUAAUACAUGCAAGUCGAGCGAACAGACGAGGAGCUUGCUCCUCUGACGUUAGCGGCGGACGGGUGAGUAACACGUGGAUAACCUACCUAUAAGACUGGGAUAACUUCGGGAAACCGGAUCUAAUACCGGAUAAUAUAUUGAACCGCAUGGUUCAAUAGUGAAAGACGGUUUUGCUGUCACUUAUAGAUGGAUCCGCGCCGCAUUAGCUAGUUGGUAAGGUAACGGCUUACCAAGGCAACGAUGCGUAGCCGACCUGAGAGGGUGAUCGGCCACACUGGAACUGAGACACGGUCCAGACUCCUACGGGAGGCAGCAGUAGGGAAUCUUCCGCAAUGGGCGAAAGCCUGACAGAGCAACGCCGCGUGAGUGAUGAAGGUCUUCGGAUCGUAAAACUCUGUUAUUAGGGAAGAACAAAUGUGUAAGUAACUAUGCACGUCUUGACGGUACCUAAUCAGAAAGCCACGGCUAACUACGUG
Molecule: ribosomal RNA, 497 nt
Filed under: uncultured bacterium
Lineage: Bacteria
Description: partial 16S ribosomal RNA
Rfam family: Bacterial small subunit ribosomal RNA
Source: RNAcentral